Molecule: ribosomal RNA, 464 nt
Filed under: uncultured bacterium
Lineage: Bacteria
Description: partial 16S ribosomal RNA
Rfam family: Bacterial small subunit ribosomal RNA
Source: RNAcentral
CUACGGGCCGCAGCAGUGGGGAAUUUUGCACAAUGGGCGCAAGCCUGAUGCAGCGACGCCGCGUGCGGGAAGAAGGCCUUCGGGUUGUAAACCGCUUUCAGCAGGGAAGAAGGAAUGAGGAUUAAUACUCCUCUGCCUAGACGGUACCUGCAGAAGAAGCUCCGGCUAAUUUCGUGCCAGCAGCCGCGGUAAUACGAAAGGGGCAAGCGUUGUUCGGAUUUACUGGGCGUAAAGAGAUCGUAGGUGGUUUAUCAAGUCGGGUGUGAAAUCCCGGGGCUCAACCCCGGAACUGCAUUCGAUACUGGUAGACUUGAGUUCGGGAGGGGGAUGCGGAAUUCCGCGUGUAGCAGUGAAAUGCGUAGAUAUGCGGAGGAACACCAGAGGCGAAGGCGGCAUCCUGGACCGAUACUGACACUGAGGAUCGAAAGCGUGGGGAGCAAACAGGAUUAGAUACCCGAGUAGUC